GGCGGAUGAGCCAAGUGGAUCAAGGCAGUGGAUUUGUGAAUCC
RNAcentral lists this transfer RNA (43 nucleotides) under Ophiopogon zingiberaceus. RNAcentral describes it as "partial tRNA-His". The record is from RNAcentral. Lineage: Eukaryota; Viridiplantae; Streptophyta; Magnoliopsida; Asparagales; Asparagaceae.